Molecule: ribosomal RNA, 834 nt
Filed under: uncultured bacterium
Lineage: Bacteria
Description: bacterial SSU rRNA
Rfam family: Bacterial small subunit ribosomal RNA
Source: RNAcentral
CAGCCGAUGCGGAGGCCUAACACAUGCAGUCGAGCGCGCCCUUCGGGGUGAGCGGCGGACGGGUUAGUAACGCGUGGGAAUAUACCCGACACUAAGGAAUAGCCUCUGGAAACGGAGAGUAAUACCUUAUACGCCCUUCGGGGGAAAGAUUUAUCGGUGACGGAUUAGCCCGCGUUAGAUUAGAUAGUUGGUGGGGUAAUGGCCUACCAAGUCUACGAUCUAUAGCUGGUUUUAGAGGAUGAUCAGCAACACUGGGACUGAGACACGGCCCAGACUCCUACGGGAGGCAGCAGUGGGGAAUCUUGGACAAUGGGCGCAAGCCUGAUCCAGCCAUGCCGCGUGAGUGAUGAAGGCCUUAGGGUCGUAAAGCUCUUUCGCCAGAGAUGAUUAUGACAGUAUCUGGUAAAGAAACCCCGGCUAACUCCGUGCCAGCAGCCGCGGUAAUACGGAGGGGGUUAGCGUUGUUCGGAAUUACUGGGCGUAAAGCGCGUGUAGGCGGAUUAGUAAGUUAGAGGUGAAAUCCCGGGGCUCAACCCCGGAACUGCCUUUAAUACUGCUAGUCUUGAGUUCGAGAGAGGUGAGUGGAAUUCCGAGUGUAGAGGUGAAAUUCGUAGAUAUUCGGAGGAACACCAGUGGCGAAGGCGGCUCACUGGCUCGAUACUGACGCUGAGGUGCGAAAGUGUGGGGAGCAAACAGGAUUAGAUACCCUGGUAGUCCACACCGUAACGAUGAGUGCCAGUCGUCGGGUAGCAUGCUAUUCGUGACACACCUAACGGAUUAAGCAUUCCGCCUGGGGAGUACGGUCGCAAGAUUAUACCUCGAAGGUUUUGACGA